This 201-nucleotide long non-coding RNA is filed under the name Lathyrus oleraceus (garden pea). RNAcentral describes it as "Pisum sativum (pea) long non-coding RNA (PSAT_LNC026731)". The record is from RNAcentral. Lineage: Eukaryota; Viridiplantae; Streptophyta; Magnoliopsida; Fabales; Fabaceae.
AAUUGAAUUUGAUCCUCCGGCGACCCCCAAUGUCAUCACAGCACCUAUGCCUAAUCAUGACCAGAAUGUUAAUGUUGUGGACGACAAUUCUCACGUUACUGACGUUGCUGAUUUAGCAUCUCCUCUCCUGAUCGUUAAGAAGAAUUUAUUGCAAGCUGGUUUAUUUCCAGGUUGUGCUGAAGAUUGCGAUCUCUGUGUACU